GUUCGUAAUGCUGUACCCGUUUACAGACCUGUGACAUUGGCAAAAUAUGAUCAUAAUAAUGAUGCAGUUUUGACGUCUAGGCCCUAUGCAAUUAUGUCUUCAGUAUUUUGCAUUUUACUACUAGUUACCACAGUCGUGGUUGAGGUGAUUUCGGAAGAUAAAUCAGAGCCUGGAAAAAGAGGAAGUACCAAGACAAGUAAAAAAGAAAAUGCCGAAGCCGACAAAGCCCUGGAGAUUUAUCAAAAAUUGUUUUUACAAAAACGAGCGCAGCAUGUCCAGGCAGUAGAAGAAAUGUUAGCAUCGUAUGACUACCAAAAAAA
RNAcentral lists this long non-coding RNA (320 nucleotides) under Anneissia japonica. RNAcentral describes it as "uncharacterized LOC117114498". Lineage: Eukaryota; Metazoa; Echinodermata; Crinoidea; Comatulida; Comatulidae. The record is from RNAcentral.